Molecule: ribosomal RNA, 442 nt
Filed under: uncultured bacterium
Lineage: Bacteria
Description: bacterial SSU rRNA
Rfam family: Bacterial small subunit ribosomal RNA
Source: RNAcentral
GGUACCGUUCGGGUCGCCGGCGAGUGGACGGACGGUGAGUAAUAUAGUCGGAACGUUACCUUCAGGUGGGGAAUAACGUAGACGAAAGUUACGCUAAUACCGCAUAUUCUGUGAGCAGGAAAGCAGGGGAUCGCAAGACCUUGCGCUGAUUGAGCGGCCGAUAUCAGAUUAGCUAGUUGGUGAGGUAAAGGCUCACCAAGGCGACGAUCUGUAGCGGGUCUGAGAGGAUGAUCCGCCACACUGGAACUGAGACACGGUCCAGACUCCUACGGGAGGCAGCAGUGGGGAAUUUUGGACAAUGGGCGCAAGCCUGAUCCAGCCAUGCCGCGUGAGUGAAGAAGGCCUUCGGGUUGUAAAGCUCUUUCGGCCGGGAAGAAAUCGCACAGGUUAAUACCCUGUGUGGAUGACGGUACCGGAAUAAGAAGCACCGGCUAACUACGUG